AAUGAACGCUGGCGGCAUGCCUUACACAUGCAAAUCGAACGGCAGCAUGACCUAGCUUGCUAGGUUGAUGGCGAGUGGCGAACGGGUGAGUAAUGCAUCGGAACGUGCCUUUUAGUGGGGGAUAACGUAGCGAAAGUUACGCUAAUACCGCAUAUUCUCUGAGGAGGAAAGCAGGGGACCUUCGGGCCUUGCGCUAGAAGAGCGGCCGAUGUCGGAUUAGCUAGUUGGUGAGGUAAAGGCUCACCAAGGCAACGAUCCGUAGCGGGUCUGAGAGGAUGAUCCGCCACACUGGGACUGAGACACGGCCCAGACUCCUACGGGAGGCAGCAGUGGGGAAUUUUGGACAAUGGGCGCAAGCCUGAUCCAGCCAUGCCGCGUGAGUGAAGAAGGCCUUCGGGUUGUAAAGCUCUUUCGGCUGGGAAGAAAUCGCACCCUCUAAUACAGGGUGUGGAUGACGGUACCAGCAUAAGAAGCACCGGCUAACUACGUG
RNAcentral lists this ribosomal RNA (490 nucleotides) under uncultured bacterium. RNAcentral's name for it is "partial 16S ribosomal RNA". It matches the Rfam family "Bacterial small subunit ribosomal RNA", at positions 29 to 507 of the family's 1533-position model. The record is from RNAcentral.